AAACCGGCUCUCUCUCCCCGGUAUCUCACCGCUGCGUCAGUGCAGUUAGGCAUCAGCAAAUUAAUGAGAGGAGAGAGGAGGCCCCUGCUCUCGGGCACCCGCAGGAACUUACUCCAGCUCCAGACACACCGUAAACACUUUCAUCUAAUGGAAGAUAAGCUGUGAAAUCGGAUUUCUGAACCACAAGACACUUGUGUAAAAACUGCAUUCCAUGCCAGGCCUGAAAUGUUCCAAAGCUCAGUUUGGUGAGUAAAUUGCAACCAAGAUUUCUACACACACCAAAAAAA
Molecule: long non-coding RNA, 287 nt
Organism: Herpailurus yagouaroundi (jaguarundi)
Lineage: Eukaryota; Metazoa; Chordata; Mammalia; Carnivora; Felidae
Exons: 3
Source: RefSeq, a predicted model, not a curated record